UCGGUAUGUACUGGCUUUACUGAUUCCUCCUUCUUGACGAACCGUGAUGUCAUUAAUUUGGUGUUGCGGGAAAUCAGGACUGUUACUUUGAAAAAAUUAGAGUGUUUAAAGCAGGCUAACGCUUGAAUACAUUAGCAUGGAAUAAUGAAAUAGGACGUUAAUCCUAUUUUGUUGGUUUCUAGGAUCGACGUAAUGAUUAAUAGGGAUAGUUGGGGGCAUUAGUAUUCAAUUGUCAGAGGUGAAAUUCUUGGAUUUAUUGAAGACUAACUACUGCGAAAGCAUUUGCCGAGGAUGUUUUCAUUAAUCAAGAACGAAAGUUAGGGGAUCGAAGACGAUCAGAUACCGUCGUAGUCUUAACCAUAAACUAUGCCAACAAGGGAUCGGAUGAUGUUAUUUUUAAUGACUCAUUCGGCCCCUUACG
RNAcentral lists this ribosomal RNA (421 nucleotides) under uncultured Glomeromycotina. Its description in RNAcentral is "SSU rRNA". It matches the Rfam family "Eukaryotic small subunit ribosomal RNA", at positions 670 to 1092 of the family's 1831-position model. Lineage: Eukaryota; Fungi; Glomeromycota. The record is from RNAcentral.